AGACAGAGAUGUGGAGCGAAACUCAAAAAGUAAGUCUCAGUUCGGAUUGAAGGCUGAAAUUCGCCUUCAUGAAGCCGGAAUUGCUAGUAAUGGCAGGUCAGCAUACUGCCGUGAAUACGUUCCCGGGCCUUGUACACACCGCCCGUCACACCAUGAGAGUUGGGAAUACCCGAAGCCUGUGAGCUAACGUUAAGAGGCAGCAGUCGAAGGUAGAAUCAAUGAUUGGGGUGAAGUCGUAACAAGGUAAC
This 248-nucleotide ribosomal RNA is filed under the name uncultured bacterium. RNAcentral's name for it is "partial 16S ribosomal RNA". It matches the Rfam family "Bacterial small subunit ribosomal RNA", at positions 1252 to 1500 of the family's 1533-position model. The record is from RNAcentral.